Non-coding RNA from Triticum aestivum (bread wheat), 135 nucleotides. NCBI's taxonomy places the organism in Eukaryota, Viridiplantae, Streptophyta, Magnoliopsida, Poales, Poaceae. The record is from Rfam.
UUAUUACUCCCUCCGUCCGAAAAUACUUAUCAUCAAAAUGAAUAAAAAAAAAUGUAUGUAGAACUAAAAUACAUCUAGAUACUUCCCCUUUUAUUCAUUUUGAUGACAAGUAUUUUCGGAUGAAGGGACUAUUAU